This is a long non-coding RNA of Canis lupus familiaris (dog), 797 nucleotides long. RefSeq lists it as uncharacterized. The record is from RefSeq and is a predicted model, not a curated record. NCBI's taxonomy places the organism in Eukaryota, Metazoa, Chordata, Mammalia, Carnivora, Canidae. The transcript is spliced from 3 exons.
AGAAUCCCUUAUGUGCCAGGUACUGCCUUAGAAUCAGUGAUGCUUCUAUGUCCUUGAGAAGGAAACUGAAAAUUCUAGAAAGAAUUUCAAAUACAUUCUUUUUCUCUACCCACUGAUGACCCAAAGUCUUCUAAAUUCUGUUUAGGAAAGCCACACCUACCUUCUUAGGCUUGUAAACCACUGUAAAUGAAAAACAGAAACUCUAAGCCUAGGGCAAAUCCUAGAUUACACCUGAAAAUAGAAAUACUUCUGGCAGAGGAUAUUGGGAAGAAACCACAGAGAAGAGCUGACCAUGAUGAGGGAACAGAGGACUAGCUGAGGACAAAGCACAAACCUGGAGCAGCACAUUGACAAGUCCUUGAAACAGGCAGAAGGACAUUCUUCUACAGACUCAUCUCCCUCGAUGUUCGUACUUUGCUAAGGGCAAAAGCCAAUCUUAGCCUGACCCUCAGGGUCCUGUGAGCCUACUUUAACAUAUAAAGAUUCCUUUAGAAAUUUCCUUUAUCUUUACCCCCCAAGAUAGGUGUUGGCAAUCAUCCCCCAAGCACAAGGGCCACUGAUACACAUCUGAUGAGUCUCAUGACUAAGAUUUUAUUAGAUGGUAAUAAGUGACCUUUUCCCAACAACAGCUAGCCUCCUCAAGGUCCUAGAAACCUUGCUUCCAAAAUUCCUUAGAGUACACUAUCCCCAAACCCCUCCCAACCCCAAGGUAUAUAAUCAGCUACCGCUCACAGGCCUGGGGCAGCCGCUCUUCCUACCCAUGGGUCCUGUCCCGGUACUUUAAUAAAACUACCAUU